RNAcentral lists this ribosomal RNA (477 nucleotides) under Candidatus Scalindua brodae. RNAcentral's name for it is "bacterial SSU rRNA". It matches the Rfam family "Bacterial small subunit ribosomal RNA", at positions 365 to 832 of the family's 1533-position model. Lineage: Bacteria; Pseudomonadati; Planctomycetota; Candidatus Brocadiia; Candidatus Brocadiales; Candidatus Scalinduaceae. The record is from RNAcentral.
UUCGCAAUGCCCGAAAGGGUGACGAAGCGACGCCGCGUGAGCGAAGAAGGCCUUCGGGUUGUAAAGCUCUGUCAGGAGUUAAGAAAUGUAGAUACGCUAAUAUCGUAUCUAUUUGACAAAGGCUCCAAAGGAAGCCACGGCUAACUCUGUGCCAGCAGCCGCGGUAAUACAGAGGUGGCAAGCGUUGUUCGGUAUUAUUGGGCGUAAAGAGCACGUAGGUGGUUUUGUAAGUCAGGUGUGAAAGCCUUCUGUUCAAAGGAAGAACGGCAUCUGAAACUACAGAUCUUGAGUGUAGGAGGGGAGAGUGGAACUUCUGGUGGAGCGGUGAAAUGCGUAGAUAUCAGAAGGAACGUCGGCGGCGAAAGCGACUCUCUGGCCUAUUACUGACACUGAGUGUGCGAAAGUUAGGGGAGCAAACGGGAUUAGAUACCCCGGUAGUCCUAACCGUAAACGAUGGGCACUAAGUAGAGGGGUUUU